GUUCUUAUGGUGUAAUAACACAUUACAUUUUCAUUGUAAAACUAAAGGUAAGACUCCUUUUAAAAACA
This 68-nucleotide transfer RNA is filed under the name Neocaridina denticulata (Japanese swamp shrimp). Its description in RNAcentral is "tRNA-Glu". It matches the Rfam family "tRNA". Rfam says of the family: Transfer RNA (tRNA) molecules are approximately 80 nucleotides in length. Their secondary structure includes four short double-helical elements and three loops (D, anti-codon, and T loops). Lineage: Eukaryota; Metazoa; Arthropoda; Malacostraca; Decapoda; Atyidae. RNAcentral also lists the same sequence under 3 other names. The record is from RNAcentral.